UCGACGGGGUGAGGAAUGCGGUGCUGUGGACGUUAACGAUCGACGGGGUGAGGAAUGCGGUGCUGUGGACGUUAACGAUCGACGGGGUGAGGAAUGCGGUGCUGUGGAUGUUAACGAUCGACGGGGUGAGAAUGCGGUGCUGUGGACGUUAACGAUCGACGGGGUGAGGAAUGCGGUGCUGUGGACGUUAACGAUCGACGGGGUGAGGAAUGCGGUGCUGUGGACGUUAACGAUCGACGGCUCAUGAAAGAAACCCUCUAUAUUUGGAGACUCUGAGCGGGACCACGCUUCACAGUUGGCAGCAAUAUUGUUUUUCUUGACAGUGUUAAAGCGUUGAUGGAUGAUAAUGGUGAUGUAUGUGUGCCAACAUUGAUUUGUAAUUAUGAACGUUGUAUGUGUGGGGUUGUGCUCUGUUGUUCCAGUGUGCAAGUAUAGCUGAAGAACACAUUUAAGACACCUCUAGGUGGCACUCAUAUGUCAAUCAAUCUGUGAAAGGCCCAACAUCAUGUAAAAAUUGUCAUGAAAUUGUCAUGAAACAAUUGUUAGAAUUCUCAAUGAAGAGUACCAUCGGGACUCAAUGUCUUUAUAGGAGGCCCAUCAAUAGACUAACUCUGAAGGAGAGAGAGAAAGGGGGAAACUUGCCAAGGCACAGAGUAGGGGGAUGUUGCCAUUCCUUUCAUUUCCAAAACAAACAUGAGAUGUGAACAUUGUGAACCAGAUGGAUUUAAUGUAUCUGGUAUUCGAACAAGAUCAGGCCUGGAUGUACUCUGGCUCUGUUCAGCUCUACAAACCUCUAUGUCAUGUUUUCACUAUCAGGACUCUCAUAACAAAGCCUCCAUAAACACUUUAUAAAGCCUAUAUAGAUUAUGCCGAAAUCAUUCAUAAGUACAUGUCAUGGGUGGCAAAAGAGUCAGGCCACAUUUGUCAAAGAACUAGACAUUGUUAUGUCUCUCUGUAGAUUAAAGGCUACUGUUUAUGUCAGCCUUGCUUGCCAGGUUUGAGAUGUACAGCAAUCUACAUACUGUAUGUGCAUUCGGAAAGUAUUCAGACCCCUUGACUUUUUCCACAUUUUCUUACGUUACAGCCUUGUUCUAAAAUGGAUUAAAUCUUUUUUGCUUUCAUCAAUCUACACACAAUUCCCUAUAAUGACAAAGUGAAAUUAGAAAUAUUUGCAAAUGUAUUAAAUAUAAAAACAGACAUACCUUAUUUACAUAAGUAUUCAGUCCCUUUGCUAUGAGACAAAAUUGAGCUCAGGUGCAUCCUGUUUCCAUUGAUCAUCCUUGAUGUUUCUUCAACUUGAUUGGAGUCCACCUGUGGUAAAUUCAAUUGAUUGGACAUGAUUUGGAAAGGCACACACCUGUCUAUAUAAGGUCCCACAGUUGACAGUGCAUGUCAAAGCAAAAACCAAGCCAUGAGGUUGAAGGAAUUGUCCGUAGAGCUCCAAGACAGGAUUGUUUCAAGCCACAGAUCUGGGGAAGGGUACCAACAAAUGUCUGCAGCAUUGAAGGUCUCCCAAACUGAGCAAUUGGGGGAGAAGGGCCUUGGUCAGGGAGGUGACCAGGAACCCGAUGGUCACUCUGACAGAGCUCCAGAGUUAAUCUGUGGAGAUGGGAGAACUUUCCAGAAGGACAACCAUCUCUGCAGCACUCCACCAAUCAGGCCUUUAUGGUAGAGUGGCCAGAUGGAAGCUACUCCUCAGUAAAAGGCACAUGACAGCCCGCUUGGAGUUUGCCAAAAGGCACCUAAAGAUUCUCUGGUCUGAUGAAACUUUCGCCUCAAUGCCAAGCAUCACGUCUGGAGGAAACCAGGCACCACUCAUCACCUGCCCAAUAUCAUCCCUACGUUGACGCAUGGUGGUGGCAGCAUCAUGCUGUGGGGAUGUUUUUCAGCGGCAGGGACUGGGAGACUUGUCAGGAUCGAAGGAAAGAUGAGCGGAGCAAAGUACAGAGAGAUUCUUGAUGAAAACCUGCUCCAGAGCGCUCAGGACCUCAGACUGGAGCAAACAGGACAACCAACAACCCUAAGCACACAGCCAAGACAACGCAGGAGUGGCUUCAGGACAAGUCUCUGAAUGUCCUUGUGUGGACCAGCCAGAGCCCGGACUUGAACCGGAAUGAACAUCUAUGGAUAGACCUGAAAACAUCUGUGCAGUGACGCUCCCCCUCCAACCUGACAGAGCUUGAGAGGAUCUGUGGAGAAGAAUUGGAGAAACUCCCCAACAACAGGUGUGCCAAGCUUGUAGUGUCACCCAAGAAGACUUGAAGCUGUAAUUGCUGCCAAAGGUGCUACAGCAAAGUACUGAGUAAAGGGUCUGAAUAGUUAUGUAAAUGUGAUUUCAUAUAUAUAUUUUUUUAUACAUUUGCAAAAAUAUUUAAAAACCUGUUUUUGCCUCGUCAUUAUGGGGUAUUGUGUGUAGAUUGAUGAGGAGGAAAAAACAAUUUAAUCAGUUUUAAGGCUGUAACGUAACAAAAUGUGGAAAAAGUCAAGAGGUCUGAAUACUUUCCGAAUGCACAGUAGGUUACUGUUUACAAAUGCCCAAACUGCACUACUCCCUCUACCACUGAGUAUCUUUGUGGUUCAACCCUAUGCUUAAGUCAUCUCUGUUUUGAAAGACUAGAAUGUUUCUCUGACAUUUUUUGUUUCAUGUUUGGGUUGUGAGUUGAGACAAAACGGGCUAUGUGUGUGUACAUACAGAGCUGAUCUCUCAUUCAUCUUCUCAAGAAGAGCUUCCACCACAUCCUGUCACUCUGUUGUCGUUCAUGGCCCUGGAAUUCUUUGGAAUAAUAUGAUAAGUGAAAUUCCCACGCUAGGCGUCCUCUUUUCACAGCUUUAGGACAUUCCAGAGAAUCUGCACAGCCAUUUGGCUGUGAAGAGAUCACACGGGUGUUCCUGUUGUGCCAUGACUGAUCUGAGGAGGAUGAGGGGAGCUUGACUUCCAGGCAUGACCCCACUCUUCCAAUACUAUUGUUAUGGAGAGGAAGUGGUGCUUAUUGUCUUUGCCCCUGUGGGCCCAGCCUAGGCUACUGGGGUUAGGGUUAGGGUUAGGGUCAGCCUAGGCUGGGGUUAAGGUUAGGGUCAGCCUAAGCUGGGGUUAGGGCUAGGGUUAGGGUCAGCCUAAGCUGGGGUUAGGGCUAGAGUUAGGGUCAGCCUAGGCUGGGGCUGGGGUUAGGGCUAGAGUUAGGGUCAGCCUAGGCUGAGAUUAGUAUAAGGGUUAGUCUAGGCUGGGGUUAGGGUCAAACUAGGCUGGGGUUAGUGUUAUGGUUAGGGUUAGCCUAGGCUGGGGUCAGACUAGGCUGGGGUUAGGGUCAGACUAGGCUGGGGUUAGGGUUAGUCUAGGCUGGGGUUAGGGUCAGACUAGGCUGGGAUUAAUAGUAGGUUUAGCCUAGGCUGGGGUUAGUGUUAGGGUUAGCCUAGGCUGGGGUCAGACUAGGCUGUGGUCAGAUUAGGCUGGGGUAACUGUCAGCCUGGGUUGGGGUUAGUGUUAUGAUUCAGUCUAGGCUGGGGUCAAACUAGGCUGGGGUUAUGGUCAGACUAGGCUGGGGUUAGUGUUAGGGUUCAGUCUAGGCUGGGGUCAGACAAGGCUGGGGUUAGUGUUAGGGUUCAGUCUAGGCUGGGGUCAGACUAGGCUGGGGUUAUGGUCAGACUAGGCUGGGGUCAUGGUCAGACUAGGCUGGGGUUAGUGUCAGCCUGGGUUGGGGUUAGUGUUAGGGUUCAGACUAGGCUAGGAUUAUGGUCAGACUAGGCUGGGGUUAGUGUUAGGGUUCAGUCUAGGCUGGGGUCAGACUAGGCUGGGGUUAUGGUCAGACUAGGCUGGGGUUAGUGUUAGGGUUCAGUCUAGGCUGGGGUCAGACUAGAAUGGGAUUAUGGUCAGACUAGGCUGGUUAGUGUUAGGGUUAGCCUAGGCUGGGUUUUUUAUUUAUUUAACCUUCAUUUAACUUGGGGUAAGGCUGGGGUUAGAAUUGGGGUCAGCCUAGGCUGGGGUUAGGGUUGGGGUCAGCCUAAUAUGGGGUUGGGUUAGAUUAGGCUGGGGUUAGUGUUAGCCUAGGCUGGGGUUAGGGUUGGGGUCAGCCUAGGCUGGGGUUUAUUUCAGCCUUAUCUGGGGUUAGAGUCAGCCUAGACAGGGGAUACUGUUAGGGUUAGCCUAAACUGGCAUUAGGGUUAGUGUCAGCCUACGCUGGGGUUAGGUGUGGGGUUAGCCUAGGCUGGUGUUGGGUUCAGCCUGGGCUGGGGUUAGGGUUGGGUUUGGACUGGGGUUAGGGUUGGAGUUAGCCUGG
RNAcentral lists this long non-coding RNA (4274 nucleotides) under Salmo salar (Atlantic salmon). RNAcentral describes it as "lncRNA (ENSSSAG00000085633.1)". The record is from RNAcentral. Lineage: Eukaryota; Metazoa; Chordata; Actinopteri; Salmoniformes; Salmonidae.